Long non-coding RNA from Siniperca chuatsi (mandarin fish), 4031 nucleotides. RefSeq lists it as uncharacterized. The record is from RefSeq and is a predicted model, not a curated record. Lineage: Eukaryota; Metazoa; Chordata; Actinopteri; Centrarchiformes; Sinipercidae. The transcript has 3 exons.
AAAGGCGGUGCAACCUACUGGGUAGACAAAGUGUCAAAGAUCAAUCUGGAAGGAUUUGAUCGGGUUUAUCCCUCUAAAUCUCAGCACGCCUGUAUUUAGCUCUGCCAUGAGGAGACGACCUGCUGAUCGUGUUUCAGGUCCAUGUGAGAUGCUGUUUUUUCACUGUAUCCCAACAUUACAUUUGUAAUCUGAAAAAAUAUAGUUUCUUGUGACUUUGAAUGUGAUAAAAAAACAAAAAGAACCUCAAUACAAGUAGCUUCUUCUUUCUGUAAUAGAAGCUGCAUGUUUUGGAUUGUGAGUCAGAGGACAUUUUAAUACUUAAUACUAAGAAAUGACUGCCUUAAUCAGGUUUCGGCUCUGAGCUGAAGAGCCAAGCGGCUGGACAUCUCUAGAUGUUCGAGCAUUGUUAUCGUCAUACCAUAAAGUAUAAGUGAACUCCCUCUUGUUCCAUCAACUACACAUGACAUGUCUAACAGCAUAAAAGGUGUGGAAUCAGGCGAGAUAAGUGCCUUUGGUUUUAUGAUUGGAAUUGGACUGCGAUGCCUUUGUAGAUUGAGAAAUGAAGGCAAUGUCAAAUAUCGCAUUUUUGCAUUCACUGUCAGCUUUAAGUACACCCCAUUUUCCAAGUAUUUCUUCCAAAUUAGAGUUAAUUACAUGUGAAUUUGUGUCUGAGCUUCACAGCAUGGGUUUGGCACCCUCACUAUGAGAGAGCUGCGGUCAAUAUAGGAGGGCCAGUGGUACAGUAAUUAAACUGAUAAACACCAGUCACAUACCUACAAGUGCGAAAUCAAACGCAACUGGACCUGUGAGUAAGGAAACAUCUUCAAACUGAACAAAUAGCAGGUCCAGCUGCCUUCGACUUCAUGUCUUAGAUAGUUCUUCUUACUUCUCUCUUGGACCUGGUGACUGAAUCCUCAUAGACCAGUAUUUUUGGUUUCAUUUCCAGUAUUCACGGAACAAGAGGUAAAAUGACAAGGGUGCCUCACCUGAUCAGUACCUGUUAUCAUUUUCAUCAUUCAAAUGAUAUCUCACGUGAGGAAAAUGAUUCAGAAAUCUACACCUGCGCUGGUGUAAAUGGUGACAUAAAGUUUUGUCUUAAUGAUUUGGCCUCCGUGUGUGGAAACUGUUGAUCUAAAGGGAGGAUCCCGGAUUAGCGUGUUUGGAAGCAGGACAAAGAGAGAGCGAGGCCAAGACACAACCACAGAGUGCUGAUGGGAAGUUAUGUAAGCAGACAUUCUUGUCUAAAUUCUUCAAAUUAUCUUACCAUCAAUUUUUUGAAACGCAAGAGACAUUUACAGACUUUGAUACUAACUCACACUUCUUUCGAUUAGAUAUCCGAUUUAUAUUUGAUUGUGUUGGUUGCUCGGUUCAUUCUUUUGUUCUUCAUUUCUUUCGUUCACGCAUUCAUUUCUUUCCCUUUUCUUUACUUACCUUGCAUUCUGUCUUGAAAAAAUGGGGAUUAGAGUUAUCUGGGUCCUUUUAGAAUGAAAACCUACAUUUAUUUUGCAACAGGAACAGAAUUAUUUAUUAUUUCAUAUGUUGGUUUGGAAUUGGGGUCAGUCCUAUGCUGCACAUUGAUCAGCUGAGGUUUUGAGGGCAGGCUUUUAGGGCAACUUGCGGCUAAGCCUCUUUAACAGUAUAUAGGCUGGAGAUUGGAAGGCGCUGACGUCUUUAACAACACAGAUCACAGCUCUGCACUAUGUAAUGCAAACUCAGUCUAUAGGUUGGGAACCACAGUGAACACCAGGCCUGUGUCAUCAAGGUCAUCACAUCACAAAUCUACUAUACUGGGCAGUGUGCUUACAAUGUUUAGACAUCUGAUUUGGGUCGCCAGUUUGGAGCAAAGGUGAAACACAAUGCAGACUUUUGAUACUGGGUCAAAUCAGUCAGGCCAGUUCUCUCAUCUCUUUCAUCUUGUGGUGUGCGUGCUGUAACGAUGGAAACUAUCCAGAAAUGCCGCUGACAUGAAUUCCUGUGUGUGUUCAGAGGAAACCAUGUUCUUUUUACAUCCAAGCUCUCUGGCUUGAGAACCACCAUAUACAGUGCAGGCAUACAGUAUAUAUGAUCUGUGGGAUGUAUGGAGGUUUGCUUCCUACCCUGCAAAAAGCUCAAAGAGACCAUGAGUGACUAUUCUUGGCGUUUUUUUAUAAAUCAAAAAUGGUCUAGACAGGACUGAACCAUAGUCUCUAGUGUCACUUUAGACUCAGAUGCUGAACUCACGCUUUGUGUCCAAGACAAAUUUAUAUGUUUAAAUUCUAAGCCAUCUUCCCAAAAAUAGGAAAAUGUGACCGUUAACAGUUUGAAGUGUUUUUUUAAAGAUAGAAUUAGGGUAUUAGGGGAAGAACCGCCAAACACACUAACAUUCACUGAGCUUCCAGUCAACUCUUUAGUGGGCUUUACCCUCUGUAUUCCCAGCAGCUUUGUGUGGCUAAAUAAUGACUCCCAUCUACAGCGUGGUCUAUGUUGGAGGUUACAGUAGGAUAGAGGAAAUGGUCUUAAUAAACAGCCACCUCUCAAGCCGUCAAAGGGUGAGUGUGCAUGAACCACACGCAUGUCAUCAUAACAUGUCUGCCCCAUAUGAAUAGAGUCAUAGAGCUCAGACUGUCUGGUUUGCUGGUGACUAGGAGGUCAGAUGGUAGUGGACCAGUUGUUCAGGGAGCAAUGCACAGCAGGUCACAUACAGCCUAACACAGGACAGGUCCCAAUCCCAAACGCUUGCUGGCAAUAUUGACCUCAGACCUCAGUACUGCACACUCAUACAACUGAUGGUCCAUUACUUUAAACAAUUUCAACUGUGUUUAUCCAUUACCUUUAGCUACUUCGACUUCUCUGCUAGUUCACUAAUUUUCACACACUCUCAAUCCCAAUUGGUUCAAAUUAGCUACUUACACAAUCUUUCCACGCGUACCCCCCUGGUUGGGAAUCACUGUGCUAAGUGACACACUUCACAAGCAAAUCAGCACAAGUGCAUAGCUACUUGUGGUCACAUGCAUACACACUACAUGAACAGUUAUAUGUGUCUUUAAUGGUCAAAGUGCUCUCUGUUUGCUCUGUGCUGUUGUCUGUAACUGAGUUUUGUCGGGGGUUCACCCAAAAACGGAUUUUGUAUGAAUUUCAGUUCAGGCUGAUCCCUCAUCAUAAGGAGCUCCUGUUUCACGUGAGACACCACUGUGACUCCAUCCUGUUGAAUCUCUUCUUAAAACCUACUCUCGUUGGCUGCAGGAGCGAGAGAUUACAGGAGAUGGAGGGAAGAAGGUGGGAAGGAGAGCCGCAGCGCAGCCUGAGGUACACCUGCUCAACCACUGAGGGAAAUACGAGCCUGCGCAGACAGGUUAGAAUAUGUGUUUUUUGCAGACAUUAUUUGGAUAGUUUACAUAUGUGUAGUCAUGCCCUCAUUAUGAAAUAACUUCUGCUUUAAUUCUCUCUGUUUCCUCCCACCAAAUGCUCAUUCUUUCCUUCCAUUUCUCCUUCUUCCAUCCACAUCCUGCACCUCUUCCACAGGCACAUCUCUUGCUAUCAUAAUGUUCAGCCUCAAGAGAGUCUGAUCCAGUAAUUUUCCAGUUCCAAGGUUGUAUAUACCUGCUCUACUUGAAUUGGCCUUUUAUCACCUACUGCCUAUGACCUUUCUCUUCAGUUCAAACCCAGAUGUACUGUACAGGUGCACUCUGUUAGUCACAUUUUGUUAGUCAUCGCCAGGUCCGCCAGGCGUAUCCCAUCCUGUUUUUCACUUCUCUCUGUUUUUCAUUUAUCUGGGACCCUGGCACACUUCACUGCUUACAAAAACAUGAUUCUGGCCCUCUGUAGUGCAUUCAUAACAUUUCCCAAGAACUAGAUAUUUUGUUGCACCGCAUAGACAUGAGAAGGCUGUGAAGGUGACUGGUGUGAACAGGACAUUAACUGCAUAAGAGGGAGUGAUAAAAGGGAAAGGUACUGAAGUAGCAUAGAGGUAAAGAGAGGGGGAAGCCCACGAGGAGAACAGCAGAAAUAUGACUUUAGAGAUGGGCAGAGAGAGGGCAUAAAUAAGAGAGAAC